This 482-nucleotide ribosomal RNA is filed under the name uncultured Bacillus sp. Its description in RNAcentral is "bacterial SSU rRNA". It matches the Rfam family "Bacterial small subunit ribosomal RNA", at positions 710 to 1188 of the family's 1533-position model. Lineage: Bacteria; Bacillati; Bacillota; Bacilli; Caryophanales; Bacillaceae. The record is from RNAcentral.
CAGUGGCGAAGGCGACUUUCUGGUCUGUAACUGACACUGAGGUGCGAAAGCGGGGGAGCAAACAGGAUUAGAUACCCUGGGGGCACGCAGUAAACGAUGAGUGCUAAGUGUUAGAGGGUUUCCGCCCUUUAGUGCUGAAGUUAACGCAUUUAGGCAGGGCCCUGGGGGAGUACGGCCGCAAGGCUGAAACUCAAAGGAAUUGACGGGGGCCCGCACAAGCGGUGGAGCAUGUGGUUUAAUUCGAAGCAACGCGAAGAACCUUACCAGGUCUUGACAUCCCUCUGAAAAACCCUAGAGAUAGGSCUCUUCCUUCGGGAGCAGGAGUGACAGGUGGUGCAUGGUUGUCGUCAGCUCGUGUCGUGAGAUGUUGGGUUAAGUCCCGCAACGAGCGCAACCCUUGAUCUUAGUUGCCAUCUUUAAGUUGGGCACUCUAAGGUGACUGCCGGUGACAAACCGGAGAGGAAGGGUGGGGAUGACGUCAA